This 495-nucleotide ribosomal RNA is filed under the name uncultured bacterium. RNAcentral describes it as "partial 16S ribosomal RNA". It matches the Rfam family "Bacterial small subunit ribosomal RNA", at positions 28 to 507 of the family's 1533-position model. The record is from RNAcentral.
GACGAACGCUGGCGGCGUGCCUAAUACAUGCAAGUAGAACGCUUAAGGAGGAGCUUGCUUCUCUGGAUGAGUUGCGAACGGGUGAGUAACGCGUAGGUAACCUGCCUGGUAGCGGGGGAUAACUAUUGGAAACGAUAGCUAAUACCGCAUAAGAGUAGAUGUCGCAUGACAUUUGCUUAAAAGGUGCAAUUGCAUCACUACCAGAUGGACCUGCGUUGUAUUAGCUAGUUGGUGAGGUAACGGCUCACCAAGGCAACGAUACAUAGCCGACCUGAGAGGGUGAUCGGCCACACUGGGACUGAGACACGGCCCAGACUCCUACGGGAGGCAGCAGUAGGGAAUCUUCGGCAAUGGACGGAAGUCUGAACGAGCAAAGCCGCGUGAGUGAAGAAGGUUUUCGGAUCGUAAAGCUCUGUUGUAAGAGAAGAACGAGUGUGAGAGUGGAAAGUUCACACUGUGACGGUAUCUUACCAGAAAGGGACGGCUAACUACGUG